RNAcentral lists this small RNA (63 nucleotides) under Salix viminalis (osier). Lineage: Eukaryota; Viridiplantae; Streptophyta; Magnoliopsida; Malpighiales; Salicaceae. The record is from RNAcentral.
CUAUAAUGAAUAAUUAAAGAUGACUUAGAACUCUUUUGUUAUUUUUCCUAGUGUACUGAAAUA